GAUGAACGCUAGCGGCAGGCCUAAUACAUGCAAGCCGGACGGCAAGUUGAGUAGCAAUACUUGACCUAGAGUGGCGUAAGGGUGCGUAACACGUAUGCAAUCUGCCCACAGCCGGGAGAUAGCCCUCCGAAAGGAGGAUUAAUAUCCCAUAGGAAGAUGAGAUGGCAUCAUUUUAUUUUUAAACUACGGGGCUGUGGAUGAGCAUGCGGUUGAUUAGCUAGUUGGCGGGGUAAAGGCCCACCAAGGCGAUGAUCAAUAGGGGACCUGAGAGGGUGAUCCCCCACACUGGCACUGAGAUACGGGCCAGACUCCUACGGGAGGCAGCAGUAGGGAAUAUUGGACAAUGGGUGUAAGCCUGAUCCAGCCAUGCCGCGUGCAGGAAGAAGGCCUUCU
Molecule: ribosomal RNA, 393 nt
Filed under: uncultured bacterium
Lineage: Bacteria
Description: bacterial SSU rRNA
Rfam family: Bacterial small subunit ribosomal RNA
Source: RNAcentral